Molecule: ribosomal RNA, 506 nt
Filed under: uncultured bacterium
Lineage: Bacteria
Description: partial 16S ribosomal RNA
Rfam family: Bacterial small subunit ribosomal RNA
Source: RNAcentral
AGUGAACGCUGGCGGUAGGCCUAACACAUGCAAGUCGAACGGCAGCACAGGAGAGCUUGCUCUCUGGGUGGCGAGUGGCGGACGGGUGAGGAACACAUCGGAAUCUACUUUUUCGUGGGGGAUAACGUAGGGAAACUUACGCUAAUACCGCAUACGACCUACGGGUGACAGCAGGGGCUCUUCGGACCUUGCGCGAUUGAAUGAGCCGAUGUCGGGUUAGCUAGUUGGCGGGGUAAAGGCCCACCAAGUCGACGACCCGGAGCUGGUCUGAGAGGAUGGUCAGCCACACUGGAACUGAGACACGGUCCAGACUCCUACGGGAGGCAGCAGUGGGGAAUAUUGGACAAUGGGCGCAAGCCUGAUCCAGCCAUACCGCGUGGGUGAAGAAGGCCUUCGGGUUGUAAAGCCCUUUUGUUGGGAAAGAAAUCCAGCUGGUUAAUACCCGGUUGGGAUGACGGUACCCAAAGAAUAAGCACCGGCUAACUUCGUGCCAGCCGCCGCUGUAA